CAAACCGAGCUGAACAUGUCCAUGUAAGAACUUGUACAGUUGUAUGGUGCUGCCCUUGCAUGCCUUUUGGAAGGUCCAGGCUUUGCAACUGUAACAAAUACAAACCUGCCAUGGAAACACCUAACAGAAAAACCAAUUUUCAUUAGAUGAAAAAGGCUUUUAUGGCCUAAAAAAAACUAUAGUGAGAAAUGCGACCUAUUACCGAUGAUUCAUACCAUUCAGUCCAUCCAUCACUUUCACAGCCGAUUGAGCAGAUUCUUUUGUAAUCCAUGAAAAUCCCAGAGGUUGACUGGAAAUUUUGUUUCUCAUCGUUUUCACUGCAAGAUGAUGAUUAGCAUAAGAGAAGAGUAAUCAACGAUUAUAUUGGCAGGUCACUUUCACUAUAAUAUGACGAUUAGCAUAAGAGAAGAGUAAUCAAUGAUUAUAUUGGCAGGAAUUUGUAACAUCAGAAUGAAUAUGUUUGGAGCAACUUCAAACAAAAAAUGAUUAUCCAUGUGAAGGAAUCACGGCAGUUAUCACUGUAUGAUGUUAAACAGCACAAUGGAGUCAUAUUCUUUCUUUUUAAAGGACAGAAAACUUUCACUUCCUUCAAGGUAUGAACUUAGAAAGUAGGUGGCCGCCACACAAGCUUAAAGAGACUUGGUACCUUUGAAAUCAACAAAAGAUAGCUUGAAUUUAAGACACCCUUUUGACCAAAAAGAAUACUACUACCUCUUUAUGUUCUUUCUCUAUUGUUAUGGCAACCAUUAAAUCAAAUAUCGGUUUUAACCACCCUUUUUCCAAGCUUGUUCAGAGGACAAUUCUCUGCCCGAUCAAUUGAGUGAGUACAACAACAUGCUUGCCCUUUUUCACAAAUAUAAGGCUUGUUGAUAGUAGUUCAGGUUCAUAUUGUUCUAGUUUGGAUAACUAAUUCAACUAUCACAAGACCAACAUUUUUGCCUAAAACAUCAUAACACUCACCAACUCCGUAUCUCUGAAUUAGCAAACAAGUCCCAUGGACUAAAAUUCCCCAUUCAUACAAGUCCUUGCAAGUAUUUUUUUUAAGUAAUUUCACUCAUUCCAAAUUAGCAAGAUUCAAAUAAUAGCAUACAUUAUGAAAAUGGUCCUCUGUGAAAUUGUACAUUAUUUCAAAAUAAAAGACAUUUAUGAAUUUUGUUGUUGAAUAAGCAAUUCAGAUAAUCUAAUGAGAAGCUAAUCUUUCUGGGAGUUACUUCUGAACACAUUGAAAGGAGAGAGAAUUUUGGAAGAUCCUUACAUUAGAACUUGUAUGGUGCUGCCUUCACAUGCCUUUUGGAAGGUCCAGGCUUAGCAAUUUUAACAAAUACAAACCUGCCAUGAAAAAACUGAACAGGAAACCAAUUUUUAAUUGAUGAAAAGGGCUUUAUUGCCUCAAAAAAUUUAGUGCGAAACACAAAAUAUUAUCA
RNAcentral lists this long non-coding RNA (1424 nucleotides) under Vitis vinifera (wine grape). RNAcentral describes it as "long non-coding RNA (VVIN_LNC001327)". The record is from RNAcentral. Lineage: Eukaryota; Viridiplantae; Streptophyta; Magnoliopsida; Vitales; Vitaceae.